GAUUAACGCUAGCGGCAGGCAUAAUACAUGCAAGUUGAACGGCAGCACAGGUAGCAAUACUGGGUGGCGAGUGGCGCACGGGUGCGUAACACGUAUGCAACCUACCCUAUACAGGCGAAUAACCUUUAGAAAUGAGGGCUAAUACGCCGUAGUAUUACAGAUGGGCAUCUAUUUGUAAUUAAAGAUUUAUCGGUAUAGGAUGGGCAUGCGUCCCAUUAGUUAGUUGGUAAGGUAACGGCUUACCAAGACGAUGAUGGGUAGGGGAGCUGAGAGGACGUACCCCCACACUGGUACUGAGACACGGACCAGACUGCUACGGAAGGCAGCAGUAAGGAAUAUUGGGCGAUGGCCGCGAGCCUGACCCAGCCAUGCCGCGUGCAGGAAGACGGCCUUAUGGGUUGUAAACUGCUUUUAUACGGGAAUAAUAGAGUGUACGCGUACAUUUAUGCAAGUAUCGUAUGAAUAAGCAUCGGCUAACUACGUG
This 484-nucleotide ribosomal RNA is filed under the name uncultured bacterium. RNAcentral's name for it is "partial 16S ribosomal RNA". It matches the Rfam family "Bacterial small subunit ribosomal RNA", at positions 28 to 507 of the family's 1533-position model. The record is from RNAcentral.